RNAcentral lists this ribosomal RNA (370 nucleotides) under uncultured bacterium. RNAcentral describes it as "bacterial SSU rRNA". It matches the Rfam family "Bacterial small subunit ribosomal RNA", at positions 527 to 896 of the family's 1533-position model. The record is from RNAcentral.
AGAGAGUGCAAACGUUGUUCGGAAUUACUGGGCUUGAAGCGCACGUAGGCGGCGUUGUAAGUGUCGGGUGAAAUCCCACGGCUCACCCGUGGAACUGCCCGGCAUACUGCGAUGCUAGAGUGUGGUAGGGGAGAGCGGAACUCCUGGUGGAGCGGUGAAAUGCGUAGAUAUCAGGAGGAACACCGGUGGCGAAGGCGGCUCUCUGGUCCACAACUGACGCUGAGGUGCGAAAGCUAGGGGAGCAAACGGGAUUAGAUACCCCGGUAGUCCUAGCUGUAAACGAUGGGCACUAGCUUGGGGUCUCCCUGUGUGAUCCCAGGUGAAGCAAAAGUGAUAAGUGCCCCGCCUGGGGAGUAUGGUCGCAAGGCUG